CGACGUGGAGAACCUGCCGUAUACGUGGGGAGUAACACUUGGAAAUAGGUGCUAAUACCGCAUAAGCGCACAGCUUCGCAUGAAGCAGUGUAGGAAAAACAAAAAAGACUAAAGUCUUUUGGUGGUAUACGAUGGAUCCGCGUCUGAUUAGCUAGUUGGCGGGGUAAAGGCCCACCAAGGCGACGAUCAGUAGCCGGCCUGAGAGGGUGAAGGCCCCCCCCCCCCCCCCCCCCCCCCCCCCCCCAAUUGGGACUGAGACACGGCCCAAACUCCUACGGGAGGCAGCAG
Molecule: ribosomal RNA, 288 nt
Filed under: uncultured bacterium
Lineage: Bacteria
Description: partial 16S ribosomal RNA
Rfam family: Bacterial small subunit ribosomal RNA
Source: RNAcentral